This 465-nucleotide ribosomal RNA is filed under the name uncultured bacterium. RNAcentral describes it as "partial 16S ribosomal RNA". It matches the Rfam family "Bacterial small subunit ribosomal RNA", at positions 28 to 507 of the family's 1533-position model. The record is from RNAcentral.
GACGAACGCUGGCGGCGUGCUUAACACAUGCAAGUCGAACGGAAAGGCCCUGCUUGCAGGGUACUCGAGUGGCGAACGGGUGAGUAACACGUGGGUGAUCUGCCCUGCACUUCGGGAUAAGCCUGGGAAAAUGGGUCUAAUACCGGAUAGGAGCCAUUUUUAGUGUGAUGGUUGGAAAGUUUUUUCGGUGUAGGAUGAGCUCGCGGCCUAUCAGCUUGUUGGUGGGGUAAUGGCCUACCAAGGCGGCGACGGGUAGCCGGCCUGAGAGGGUGGACGGCCACAUUGGGACUGAGCGACGGCCCAGACGCCUACGGGAGGCAGCAGUGGGGAAUAUUGCACAAUGGGCGCAAGCCUGAUGCAGCGACGCCGCGUGGGGGAUGACGGCCUUCGGGUUGUAAACUCCUUUCGCUAGGGACGAAGCUUUUUGUGACGGUACCUAGAUAAGAAGCACCGGCUAACUACGUG